AAACGUAGGAGGCGAGCGUUAUCCGGAUUCACUGGGCGUAAAGGGCAUGUAGGUGGUUCGCCAAGUCGGACGUGUAAGCCCUUGGCUUAACUGGGGGAGGACGUUCGAGACUGGAGGACUGGAGGGCAGCAGAGGCGCAUGGAACUCCCGGUGUAGCGGUGGAAUGCGUAGAGAUCGGGAAGAACACCGGUGGCGAAGGCGGUGCGCUGGGCUGUACCUGACACUGAGAUGCGAAAGCGUGGGGAGCAAACGGGAUUAGAUACCCCGGUAGUCCACGCCCUAAACGAUGCGGGCUAGGUGUGGGUGGGAAGGCCAUCCGUGCCGAAGCGAACGCGUUAAGCCCGCCGCCUGGGGAGUAUGAGCGCAAGCUUAAAACUCAAAGGAAUUGACGGGGGCCCGCACAAGCAGCGGAGCGUGCGGUUUAAUUCGAUGCGACACGAAGAACCUUACCAGGGUUUGACAGGCACGUGGUAGCGAAGGGAAACCGGAGCGACCCGCAAGGGAGCGUGCACAGGUGAUGCAUGGCUGUCGUCAGCUCGUGCCGUGAGGUGUUGGGUUAAGUCCCGCAACGAGCGCAACCCUUGUCGCUAGUUACAGGUGUCUAGCGAGACUGCCGGAGAUUGUCCGGAGGAAGGCGGGGAUGACGUCAAGUCAGCAUGUCCUUUAUAUCCUGGGCGACACGCACGCUACAAUGGGUGUGACAGAGCGUAGCCAAGCCGUGAGGCGGAGCAGAUCGCCGAAAAGCACCCACAGUGCAGAUUGCAGGCUGCAACCCGCCUGCAUGAAGUCGGAGUUGCUAGUAAACGCCGGUCAGCCAUACGGCGUUGAAUACGUUCCCGGGCCUUGCACACACCGCCCGUCAAAUC
This 866-nucleotide ribosomal RNA is filed under the name uncultured bacterium. Its description in RNAcentral is "bacterial SSU rRNA". It matches the Rfam family "Bacterial small subunit ribosomal RNA", at positions 523 to 1403 of the family's 1533-position model. The record is from RNAcentral.